Molecule: ribosomal RNA, 441 nt
Filed under: uncultured bacterium
Lineage: Bacteria
Description: bacterial SSU rRNA
Rfam family: Bacterial small subunit ribosomal RNA
Source: RNAcentral
AGAGUUUGAUCCUGGCUCAGGACGAACGCUGGCGGCGUGCUUAACACAUGCAAGUCGAACGAUGAAGCCUUCGGGUGGAUUAGUGGCGAACGGGUGAGUAACACGUGGGCAAUCUGCCCUGCACUCUGGGACAAGCCCUGGAAACGGGGUCUAAUACCGGAUAAUACUGUGCCCCUCAUGGGGGACGGUUGAAAGCUCCGGCGGUGCAGGAUGAGCCCGCGGCCUAUCAGCUUGUUGGUGGGGUAAUGGCCUACCAAGGCGACGACGGGUAGCCGGCCUGAGAGGGCGACCGGCCACACUGGGACUGAGACACGGCCCAGACUCCUACGGGAGGCAGCAGUGGGGAAUAUUGCACAAUGGGCGAAAGCCUGAUGCAGCGACGCCGCGUGAGGGAUGACGGCCUUCGGGUUGUAAACCUCUUUCAGCAGGGAAGAAGCGAAA